ACCCAGUGUGAUUCGUCACACUAUCAUUAACUGAAUCCAUAGGUUAAUGAGGCGAACCGGGGGAACUGAAACAUCUAAGUACCCCGAGGAAAAGAAAUCAACCGAGAUUCCCCCAGUAGCGGCGAGCGAACGGGGAGGAGCCCAGAGCCUGAAUCAGCAUGUGUGUUAGUGGAAGCGUCUGGAAAGGCGCGCGAUACAGGGUGACAGCCCCGUACACAAAAGCGUAUGUGCUGUGAGCUCGAUGAGUAGGGCGGGACACGUGGUAUCCUGUCUGAAUAUGGGGGGACCAUCCUCCAAGGCUAAAUACUCCUGACUGACCGAUAGUGAACCAGUACCGUGAGGGAAAGGCGAAAAGAACCCCGGCGAGGGGAGUGAAAAAGAACCUGAAACCGUGUACGUACAAGCAGUGGGAGCACAGGUUUACCUGUGUGACUGCGUACCUUUUGUAUAAUGGGUCAGCGACUUAUAUUCUGUAGCAAGGUUAACCGCAUAGGGGAGCCGGAGGGAAACCGAGUCUUAAUUGGGCGUUAAGUUGCAGGGUAUAGACCCGAAACCCGGUGAUCUAGCCAUGGGCAGGUUGAAGGUUGGGUAACACUAACUGGAGGACCGAACCGACUAAUGUUGAAAAAUUAGCGGAUGACCUGUGGCUGGGGGUGAAAGGCCAAUCAAACCGGGAGAUAGCUGGUUCUCCCCGAAAGCUAUUUAGGUAGCGCCUCGUGAAUUCAUCUCCGGGGGUAGAGCACUGUUUCGGCUAGGGGGCCAUCCCGGCUUACCAACCCGAUGCAAACUGCGAAUACCGGAGAAUGUUAUCACGGGAGACACACGGCGGGUGCUAACGUCCGUCGUGAAGAGGGAAACAACCCAGACCGCCAGCUAAGGUCCCAAAGUCAUGGUUAAGUGGGAAACGAUGUGGGAAGGCCCAGACAGCCAGGAUGUUGGCUUAGAAGCAGCCAUCAUUUAAAGAAAGCGUAAUAGCUCACUGGUCGAGUCGGCCUGCGCGGAAGAUGUAACGGGGCUAAACCAUGCACCGAAGCUGCGGCAGCGACACUAUGUGUUGUUGGGUAGGGGAGCGUUCUGUAAGCCUGUGAAGGUGUGUCGUGAGGCAUGCUGGAGGUAUCAGAAGUGCGAAUGCUGACAUAAGUAACGAUAAAGCGGGUGAAAAGCCCGCUCGCCGGAAGACCAAGGGUUCCUGUCCAACGUUAAUCGGGGCAGGGUGAGUCGACCCCUAAGGCGAGGCCGAAAGGCGUAGUCGAUGGGAAACGGGUUAAUAUUCCCGUACUUGGUGUUACUGCGAAGGGGGGACGGAGAAGGCUAUGUUGGCCGGGCGACGGUUGUCCCGGUUUAAGCGUGUAGGUGUGUGUUCCAGGUAAAUCCGGUUCACUUUAACACUGAGGCGUGACGACGAGGCACUACGGUGCUGAAGCAACAAAUGCCCUGCUUCCAGGAAAAGCCUCUAAGCAUCAGGUAACAUCAAAUCGUACCCCAAACCGACACAGGUGGUCAGGUAGAGAAUACCAAGGCGCUUGAGAGAACUCGGGUGAAGGAACUAGGCAAAAUGGUGCCGUAACUUCGGGAGAAGGCACGCUGACACGUAGGUGAAGUGAUUUACUCAUGGAGCUGAAGUCAGUCGAAGAUACCAGCUGGCUGCAACUGUUUAUUAAAAACACAGCACUGUGCAAACACGAAAGUGGACGUAUACGGUGUGACGCCUGCCCGGUGCCGGAAGGUUAAUUGAUGGGGUCAGCGCAAGCGAAGCUCCUGAUCGAAGCCCCGGUAAACGGCGGCCGUAACUAUAACGGUCCUAAGGUAGCGAAAUUCCUUGUCGGGUAAGUUCCGACCUGCACGAAUGGCGUAAUGAUGGCCAGGCUGUCUCCACCCGAGACUCAGUGAAAUUGAACUCGCUGUGAAGAUGCAGUGUACCCGCGGCAAGACGGAAAGACCCCGUGAACCUUUACUAUAGCUUGACACUGAACAUUGAGCCUUGAUGUGUAGGAUAGGUGGGAGGCUUUGAAGUGUGGACGCCAGUCUGCAUGGAGCCGACCUUGAAAUACCACCCUUUAAUGUUUGAUGUUCUAACGUGGACCCGUUACCCGGGUUGCGGACAGUGUCUGGUGGGUAGUUUGACUGGGGCGGUCUCCUCCUAAAGAGUAACGGAGGAGCACGAAGGUUGGCUAAUCCUGGUCGGACAUCAGGAGGUUAGUGCAAUGGCAUAAGCCAGCUUGACUGCGAGCGUGACGGCGCGAGCAGGUGCGAAAGCAGGUCAUAGUGAUCCGGUGGUUCUGAAUGGAAGGGCCAUCGCUCAACGGAUAAAAGGUACUCCGGGGAUAACAGGCUGAUACCGCCCAAGAGUUCAUAUCGACGGCGGUGUUUGGCACCUCGAUGUCGGCUCAUCACAUCCUGGGGCUGAAGUAGGUCCCAAGGGUAUGGCUGUUCGCCAUUUAAAGUGGUACGCGAGCUGGGUUUAGAACGUCGUGAGACAGUUCGGUCCCUAUCUGCCGUGGGCGCUGGAGAACUGAGGGGGGCUGCUCCUAGUACGAGAGGACCGGAGUGGACGCAUCACUGGUGUUCGGGUUGUCAUGCCAAUGGCACUGCCCGGUAGCUAAAUGCGGAAGAGAUAAGUGCUGAAAGCAUCUAAGCACGAAACUUGCCCCGAGAUGAGUUCUCCCUGAGACUUAGAGUCUCCUGAAGGAACGUUGAAGACGACGACGUUGAUAGGCCGGGUGUGUAAGCGCAGCGAUGCGUUGAGCUAACCGGUACUAAUGAACCGUGAGGCUUAACC
RNAcentral lists this ribosomal RNA (2779 nucleotides) under Salmonella enterica subsp. enterica serovar Manhattan. RNAcentral's name for it is "bacterial LSU rRNA". It matches the Rfam family "Bacterial large subunit ribosomal RNA". The record is from RNAcentral. Lineage: Bacteria; Pseudomonadati; Pseudomonadota; Gammaproteobacteria; Enterobacterales; Enterobacteriaceae.